RNAcentral lists this transfer RNA (73 nucleotides) under Giardia muris. It matches the Rfam family "tRNA". Rfam says of the family: Transfer RNA (tRNA) molecules are approximately 80 nucleotides in length. Their secondary structure includes four short double-helical elements and three loops (D, anti-codon, and T loops). Lineage: Eukaryota; Fornicata; Diplomonadida; Hexamitidae. The record is from Rfam by way of RNAcentral.
GGGCGGUUAGCUCAGUUGGUAGAGCGCGUGCCUAGCAUGCACGAGGCCGGGGGUUCAACUCCCUCAUCGUCCA